Molecule: long non-coding RNA, 1080 nt
Filed under: Callithrix jacchus (white-tufted-ear marmoset)
Lineage: Eukaryota; Metazoa; Chordata; Mammalia; Primates; Cebidae
Description: lncRNA (ENSCJAG00000084620.1)
Source: RNAcentral
AGGCAAACCGACUAUAGCUUCUUCUCCAGGACAGAAGGUCUAGAAUGUGUAGAGGCGGCGAAGGGGGCGGGCCACUAGGAGGCAGCGGCGGAGAUGACGGUGGUGGUGGUGGCGGCGGCGGCGAUGACGGCGGGGGCGACGGCCAGCUCGGAGGCUGCAGAGGUUAAGGUAGACGCGGCAGAAACUGCCUGCUCCGCUUCUGUGACUUUUUAAAUUGAAUGUGAUCAUUAACUUUUACCCAUGAAUAUAAAAAUGGAGCAGUUUUUCAACUACUCAUGAAAGAUUAUCCAUGAACGCUAAGAUUAUUUAAUUUUUCAUGGAGCGUAGAAUUCUGUGAAUCACUUCAUACAUAGGCUACUUAGUCAAAAGUCAAAUCUGUAAUUUCAUUUUCAAAUUUAAUUCUCUCUGGUUGCUAAAUCUUUACCUAGGUUGUGAGGGAACAUUUCAGAUAAUACAAGAUUCGGUGAAGAAAAAAUAUUAGUAUUUCUUCUGAGAAUUUUUCUUAAUGAAUUGUAAGUUACUGACCUUUCAAAAUAGAGAAAUUUAUGUUAUUUAAAAAUUUUUUUUUGUAAAAUUUUAUUUCUCUUCUUUCUUAAAAAAUACGUAAAAUAGGUUGGGCGUGAUGGCUCACACCUGUAAUCCAGGCACUUUGGGAGGCCAAGGUGGGCAGAUCACGAGGUCAAGAGAUCGAGACCACUCUGGCUAACAUGGUGAAACCCCAUCUUUACUGAAAAUACAAAAAGCCAGCUGUGGUGGCAUGCACCUGUAAUUCCAGCUACUCAGGAGGCUAAGGCAGGAGAAUCACUUCAACUUGGAGGCGGAGGAUCUUGCCACUGCACUCAUGAACUACAGAGGUCUGAAGAUGAGGAAGCAAACUGCCAUAUUUUCAGAUAUGUAGAAGACACAUCAAGGAACUCUGGGUGGCCUCUGGAAGCAGAGAGGUGUUCCCAGUUGACAAUUAGAAAAAACAAAAAACCGGGACUUCAGUCAUACAACCAGGAGGAAAUAAAUUCCCUCAACAACCAGGGAGCUUAAAAGAGGCCCCAGACCCUCACAGGAGAUUGAAGUCCCACCUACCAC